RNAcentral lists this ribosomal RNA (860 nucleotides) under uncultured Thalassomonas sp. RNAcentral's name for it is "bacterial SSU rRNA". It matches the Rfam family "Bacterial small subunit ribosomal RNA", at positions 56 to 896 of the family's 1533-position model. The record is from RNAcentral. Lineage: Bacteria; Pseudomonadati; Pseudomonadota; Gammaproteobacteria; Alteromonadales; Colwelliaceae.
UGCAAGUCGAGCGGAACGAGAAUAGCUUGCUAUUCGGCGUCGAGCGGCGGACGGGUGAGUAAUGCUUGGGAAUAUGCCUAAUGGUGGGGGACAACAGUUGGAAACGACUGCUAAUACCGCAUAAUGUCUACGGACCAAAGGAGGGGAUUCUUCGGAACCUUUCGCCAUUUGAUUAGCCCAAGUGAGAUUAGCUAGUUGGUAAGGUAAAGGCUUACCAAGGCGACGAUCUCUAGCUGGUUUGAGAGGAUGAUCAGCCACACUGGGACUGAGACAUGGCCCAGACUCCUACGGGAGGCAGCAGUGGGGAAUAUUGCACAAUGGGCGAAAGCCUGAUGCAGCCAUGCCGCGUGUGUGAAGAAGGCCUUCGGGUUGUAAAGCACUUUCAGCGAGGAGGAAAGGGUGUAGACUAAUACUCUGCAUCUGUGACGUUACUCGUAGAAGAAGCACCGGCUAACUCCGUGCCAGCAGCCGCGGUAAUACGGAGGGUGCAAGCGUUAAUCGGAAUUACUGGGCGUAAAGCGUGCGUAGGCGGUUGCCUCAGUCAGAUGUGAAAGCCCCGGGCUUAACCUGGGAACGGCAUUUGAUACUGGGUAACUAGAGUAUGGUAGAGGUGAGUGCAAUUUCAAGUGUAGCGGUGAAAUGCGUAGAGAUCUGAACGGAACGUCAGUGGCGAAGGCGGACUCACUGGGACAAUUACUGACACUGAGGUGCGAAAGCGUGGGUAGCAAUCAGGAUGAGAUACCCUGGUAGUCCACGCCCUAAACGAUGUCACUACGGUGUAUGGCAGCUUUAUGCUCUGUGUAUCGGAAGCUAGCGCGACAAGUUGGACGGCUUGGGUGAUGCAAGUCGAUGCAAGUCGA